This 435-nucleotide ribosomal RNA is filed under the name uncultured Lachnospiraceae bacterium. RNAcentral's name for it is "partial 16S ribosomal RNA". It matches the Rfam family "Bacterial small subunit ribosomal RNA", at positions 341 to 792 of the family's 1533-position model. Lineage: Bacteria; Bacillati; Bacillota; Clostridia; Lachnospirales; Lachnospiraceae. The record is from RNAcentral.
ACGGAAGGCAGCAGUGGGGAAUAUUGGACAAUGGGCGAAAGCCUGAUCCAGCGACGCCGCGUGAGUGAAGAAGUAUUUCGGUAUGUAAAGCUCUAUCAGCAGGGAAGAAAAUGACGGUACCUGACUAAGAAGCGCCGGCUAAAUACGUGCCAGCAGCCGCGGUAAUACGUAUGGUGCAAGCGUUAUCCGGAUUUACUGGGCGUAAAGGGAGCGUAGGCGGCUUGGCAAGCCAGAAGUGAAAACCCGGGGCUCAACCCCGUGGAUUGCUUUUGGAACUGUUGAGCUAGAGUGUCGGAGAGGUAAGUGGAAUUCCUAGUGUAGCGGUGAAAUGCGUAGAUAUUAGGAGGAACACCAGUGGCGAAGGCGGCUUACUGGACGAUUACUGACGCUGAGGCUCGAAGGCGUGGGGAGCAAACAGGAUUAGAUACCCUGGUA